Molecule: ribosomal RNA, 162 nt
Filed under: uncultured bacterium
Lineage: Bacteria
Description: partial 16S ribosomal RNA
Rfam family: Bacterial small subunit ribosomal RNA
Source: RNAcentral
UAAUCGCGAAUCAGAAUGUCGCGGUGAAUACGUUCCCGGGCCUUGUACACACCGCCCGUCACACCAUGAGAGUCGAUAACACCCGAAGCCUGUGAGCUAACCGUAAGGAGGCAGCAGUCGAAGGUGGGGUUGAUGAUUGGGGUGAAGUCGUAACAAGGUAUC